GGGGACAUAGUAUAGUGGUAGUACACUAGCUUCGCAUGCUAUAGACCGGAGUUCGAUUCCCCGUGUCUCCA
This is a transfer RNA of Absidia repens, 71 nucleotides long. It matches the Rfam family "tRNA". From Rfam's summary of the family: Transfer RNA (tRNA) molecules are approximately 80 nucleotides in length. Their secondary structure includes four short double-helical elements and three loops (D, anti-codon, and T loops). Further hydrogen bonds mediate the characteristic L-shaped molecular structure. tRNAs have two regions of fundamental functional importance: the anti-codon, which is responsible for specific mRNA codon recognition, and the 3' end, to which the tRNAs corresponding amino acid is attached (by aminoacyl-tRNA synthetases). tRNAs cope with the degeneracy of the genetic code in two manners: having more than one tRNA (with a specific anti-codon) for a particular amino acid; and 'wobble' base-pairing, i.e. permitting non-standard base-pairing at the 3rd anti-codon position. The record is from Rfam. Lineage: Eukaryota; Fungi; Mucoromycota; Mucoromycetes; Mucorales; Cunninghamellaceae.